Molecule: transfer RNA, 92 nt
Filed under: Candidatus Hydrogenedentota bacterium
Lineage: Bacteria; Pseudomonadati; Candidatus Hydrogenedentota
Also listed under: 1 other name
Description: tRNA-Ser
Rfam family: tRNA
About the family: Transfer RNA (tRNA) molecules are approximately 80 nucleotides in length. Their secondary structure includes four short double-helical elements and three loops (D, anti-codon, and T loops).
Source: RNAcentral
GGAGAGGUGGCCGAGUGGUUGAAGGCGGCGGCCUCGAAAGCCGUUGUGCUCCUUUUGGGGCACCGUGGGUUCGAAUCCCACCCUCUCCGCCA